CUCCGUCUCAUCCGGUUCGUAUCCACCGGGCACCACGUAGUCGGGCGGCCGAUCGGUGCUGCACAUCUCACAGCCCGGCCGCGUGGGUUUGUUGAUGAAGGUGCAUUUGGGACACGACCAACCCGCCGGCACCGGUGAGGGCAGAGAUGUGGCGGCGGGUGCUGUCUGGGGGUUGAAAGCGUCGCUGAUCUGCAUGGUGUCCAGGUGGUGGCUGAUGGCACCCAGGUCCAUCUGCCGGUGGGCUUUCCUACCCGCCGCGCCGGGCACCGUGCCGUACUUCCUCCUCUCCUCCCC
RNAcentral lists this long non-coding RNA (294 nucleotides) under Gallus gallus (chicken). The record is from RNAcentral. Lineage: Eukaryota; Metazoa; Chordata; Aves; Galliformes; Phasianidae.